UUUUAGGGUUGCUAUUUAAGUUCUCUGUGCAAAUGCAAGCCUUGUUAUAUUUUUGAUUUCUGACAAAAUAGGUUACACAGCGGGAAAUUUGCUGUCUGGCUUAAAAAAAAGUUUCAGCAUCAUUUGGACGGGUUUCAGAUGCUUACAAGCAAAUAACCAGUUGCAUCUCGGGUGGCGCAAACAUAAAACCUUGUUCCCAAAUGCCUUGCAAAAGUGUGCGGAGGAGGUUGUAUGGGAAUGCUACAUAGCCUGAUUCGCUGGGUCCCUUCUGCGUCUGCAGUCAGUCCUGAGCUUGCACCUCUUCAGUCGGACAGAUGUGCUGACUCCAUUCCUGAACUUUGCAAUGUACUGGAACAACCAAGUAAGAGGGAACAGCCCUACAUGAAAUAUUGUUACCCAGAGAUCAUGUUGUAUGGGAUGCAGUGGCAAGCCUCCUUGCUCCAGGACACUUUGUUCCCAGAGUACUGCAUGGAGAGGAACCAGUAGAUUGGGAAGGAGAAGUCUAAAAAGAUUGGUAUGCUUCAAGAUCCCAUCUCCAGCUCAGAGUAAGUCAAUUAGCAGGGGAGGGGUAAAACACACACACACACACACACGC
RNAcentral lists this long non-coding RNA (595 nucleotides) under Gopherus agassizii (Agassiz's desert tortoise). RNAcentral's name for it is "lncRNA (ENSGAGG00000021445.1)". Lineage: Eukaryota; Metazoa; Chordata; Testudines; Testudinidae. The record is from RNAcentral.